Non-coding RNA from Schistosoma mattheei, 45 nucleotides. NCBI's taxonomy places the organism in Eukaryota, Metazoa, Platyhelminthes, Trematoda, Strigeidida, Schistosomatidae. The record is from Rfam.
AUUCAGAUGAAGAGUCCCAAAUAGGACGAAACGCGUGUUCUGGAU